CACGUAGGGCGCGAGCGUUGUCCGGAAUUAUUGGGCGUAAAGAGCGUGUAGGCGGCCAGGUAGGUCUGCUGUGAAAACUCGAGGCUCAACCUCGAGACGUCGGCGGAAACCAUCUGGCUAGAGUCCGGAAGAGGAGAGUGGAAUUCCUGGUGUAGCGGUGAAAUGCGCAGAUAUCAGGAGGAACACCGAUGGCGAAGGCAGGUCUCUGGGCCACUACUGACGCUGAGAAGCGAAAGCAUGGGGAGCGAACAGG
Molecule: ribosomal RNA, 253 nt
Filed under: uncultured bacterium
Lineage: Bacteria
Description: partial 16S ribosomal RNA
Rfam family: Bacterial small subunit ribosomal RNA
Source: RNAcentral